RNAcentral lists this ribosomal RNA (425 nucleotides) under uncultured bacterium. RNAcentral describes it as "partial 16S ribosomal RNA". It matches the Rfam family "Bacterial small subunit ribosomal RNA", at positions 354 to 796 of the family's 1533-position model. The record is from RNAcentral.
GUGGGGAAUAUUGGACAAUGGGCGCAAGCCUGAUCCAGCCAUGCCGCGUGAACGAUGAAGGCCUUCGGGUUGUAAAGUUCUUUAGCCGAUGAUUAUAAUGACUGUAGUCGGAAAAUAAGCCCCGGCUAACUUCGUGCCAGCAGCCGCGGUAAUACGAAGGGGGCGAGCGUUAUUCGGAAUCACUGGGCGUAAAGCGUGCGUAGGCGGUCUCGUAAGUUAGGAGUGAAAGCCCAGGGCUCAACCUUGGAAUUGCUCUUAAUACUGCAAGGCUAGAAUCUCGGAGAGGAUAGCGGAAUUUCCAGUGUAGCAGUGAAAUGCGUAGAUAUUGGAAGGAACACCAGUGGCGUAAGCGGCUAUCUGGACGAGUAUUGACGCUGAGGCACGAAAGCGUGGGGAUCAAACAGGAUUAGAUACCCUAGUAGUCC